RNAcentral lists this ribosomal RNA (253 nucleotides) under uncultured bacterium. Its description in RNAcentral is "partial 16S ribosomal RNA". It matches the Rfam family "Bacterial small subunit ribosomal RNA", at positions 524 to 776 of the family's 1533-position model. The record is from RNAcentral.
UACGAAUGGUGCUAGCGUUGUUCGGAAUUACUGGGCGUAAAGCGCACGUAGGCGGACUCUUAAGUCAGGGGUGAAAUCCCGGGGCUCAACCUCGGAACUGCCUUUGAUACUGUGAGUCUCGAGACCGGAAGAGGUGAGUGGAAUUCCUAGUGUAGAGGUGAAAUUCGUAGAUAUUAGGAAGAACACCGGUGGCGAAGGCGGCUCACUGGUCCGGUUCUGACGCUGAGGUGCGAAAGCGUGGGGAGCAAACAGG